RNAcentral lists this unclassified non-coding RNA (311 nucleotides) under Hevea brasiliensis (rubber tree). Lineage: Eukaryota; Viridiplantae; Streptophyta; Magnoliopsida; Malpighiales; Euphorbiaceae. The record is from RNAcentral.
GGUUCAUGAGUCACAAACAAAUUCUGCAAAACAAUUGAGUAAAGCAUUCAAAGAGAAGUGUUAAAUAUCUCUAAACAAAAAUCGGAAUCUCAAAUUCACGCAUAAGAUUUCACUAUAUGCAUCAUUUAUUUUGAUUAGAUCAUCUAAAGGAAUAACCAAAACUAACAUUCUAAAUCAGAAUUCCAAAACACAAUACAUAAAUCAAACAGUUCCACUAACAUUUAGCACAAUAAGAUCCCAGAAACACAAAAGGGGUUUACAGUUAUAAGUCCAAGACACACAUAAUUUCUGUUAGUAGUAUGCCCUAGAGC